This 261-nucleotide ribosomal RNA is filed under the name uncultured bacterium. RNAcentral's name for it is "partial 16S ribosomal RNA". It matches the Rfam family "Bacterial small subunit ribosomal RNA", at positions 337 to 615 of the family's 1533-position model. The record is from RNAcentral.
UCCUACGGGAGGCAGCAGUGGGGAAUAUUGCACAAUGGGGGAAACCCUGAUGCAGCGACGCCGCGUGAAGGAAGAAGUAUUUCGGUAUGUAAACUUCCAUCAGCAGGGAAGAAAAUGACGGUACCUGACUAAGAAGCCCCGGCUAACUACGUGCCAGCAGCCGCGGUAAUACGUAGGGGGCAAGCGUUAUCCGGAUUUACUGGGUGUAAAGGGAGCGUAGGCGGUUUAGCAAGUCAGAAGUGAAAACCCGGGGCUCAACUC